GACGAACGCUCUUUGGCGUGCUUAACACAUGCAAGUCGAACGGAAAGGCCCUUCGGGGUACUCGAGUGGCGAACGGGUGAGUAACACGUGGGUGAUCUGCCCUGCACUUUGGGAUAAGCCUGGGAAACUGGGUCUAAUACCGAAUAGGACCGCAUGCUUCAUGGUGUGUGGUGGAAAGCUUUUGCGGUGUGGGAUGGGCCCGCGGCCUAUCAGCUUGUUGGUGAGGUAAUGGCUUACCAAGGCGACGACGGGUAGCCGGCCUGAGAGGGUGACCGGCCACACUGGGACUGAGAUACGGCCCAGACUCCUACGGGAGGCAGCAGUGGGGAAUAUUGCACAAUGGGCGCAAGCCUGAUGCAGCGACGCCGCGUGAGGGAUGACGGCCUUCGGGUUGUAAACCUCUUUCGCCAGGGACGAAGCGCAAGUGACGGUACCUGGAGAAGAAGGACCGGCCAACUACGUGCCAGCAGCCGCGGUAAUACGUAGGGUCCGAGCGUUGUCCGGAAUUACUGGGCGUAAAGAGCUCGUAGGUGGUUUGUCGCGUUGUUCGUGAAAACUCACAGCUUAACUGUGGGCGUGCGGGCGAUACGGGCAGACUUGAGUACUGCAGGGGAGACUGGAAUUCCUGGUGUAGCGGUGGAAUGCGCAGAUAUCAGGAGGAACACCGGUGGCGAAGGCGGGUCUCUGGGCAGUAACUGACGCUGAGGAGCGAAAGCGUGGGGAGCGAACAGGAUUAGAUACCCUGGUAGUCCACGCCGUAAACGGUGGGUACUAGGUGUGGGUUUCCUUCCUUGGGAUCCGUGCCGUAGCUAACGCAUUAAGUACCCCGCCUGGGGAGUACGGCCGCAAGGCUAAAACUCAAAGAAAUUGACGGGGGCCCGCACAAGCGGCGGAGCAUGUGGAUUAAUUCGAUGCAACGCGAAGAACCUUACCUGGGUUUGACAUGCACAGGACGCCGGCAGAGAUGUCGGUUCCCUUGUGGCCUGUGUGCAGGUGGUGCAUGGCUGUCGUCAGCUCGUGUCGUGAGAUGUUGGGUUAAGUCCCGCAACGAGCGCAACCCUUGUCUCAUGUUGCCAGCACGUUAUGGUGGGGACUCGUGAGAGACUGCCGGGGUCAACUCGGAGGAAGGUGGGGAUGACGUCAAGUCAUCAUGCCCCUUAUGUCCAGGGCUUCACACAUGCUACAAUGGCCGGUACAAAGGGCUGCGAUGCCGUGAGGUGGAGCGAAUCCUUUCAAAGCCGGUCUCAGUUCGGAUCGGGGUCUGCAACUCGACCCCGUGAAGUCGGAGUCGCUAGUAAUCGCAGAUCAGCAACGCUGCGGUGAAUACGUUCCCGGGCCU
This 1339-nucleotide ribosomal RNA is filed under the name uncultured bacterium. Its description in RNAcentral is "bacterial SSU rRNA". It matches the Rfam family "Bacterial small subunit ribosomal RNA", at positions 28 to 1381 of the family's 1533-position model. The record is from RNAcentral.